UCAGGCAGCCGUAGGAUCUUCUUACCACACUCCCAUCCCCCCCUCAGGCCCAUGUCAUUGCUUGUGAGGGGGAGGGCAACCUAAAGGAGAUGGCUAUUUCUGCUGCCUUGAGUGGGGAUCAGGUGUACAAGAGCUGAAGCCCGACUUCCCCCUGGGGCCCUCAGAAAGAAGGGAUAUUCAUCGAAAGGGGCUCCAGGGAGAACCAGGGCAUGCGGAAACCUUAUGAUACAGGUGGGAGCUCCGUGAAGCCCCAAGAGUGUAGCGAUGCAGCAGUAGACACUGGAUCAAGCAUAACCCACUGUCACUCCAAACUCCUAAAGUCAAGCAAUCCACCAAACUCAGCAGCCUGAGGAGCAGGGAUGAACCAAUGCUGCCAGCUGAGACUGAAUAUUGCGAAAUUAAAGUGACCAAGGUUGGCCCCAAAGAAGAGACAAGAGAAGAUAUCUCCUACAUCCUUUGCAGAGGUUGGUUUGGAAGUUUCUGUUUGGAAUAUCCUAUGCCCAGUGUUCUGAAAUCCUUUAGCAAACAUACAGCAGCCCACGUAGCCUUCAUAACAAUGGAAGUAUCUCUCAUGACUGCCUUGCCCCAGCCGAGCACUGCCCAUGGUGCUGAAGACAAUGAAGUUGGAUCCCUCAGGGACAAAAGACUCGCCAUCUCCAUUGUUCAUCUGGAGCUGACCAGUAAGAAGUAGAAUUGGGACUGAGGAGAGAGACCAGGGGGCCAAGGGAAGGGAUGUGGGAAGGGAUGGAGUCUCUGAUAAACACAUCUGCCAUAGGGAAGAGCUAUAAUAUGACACAAUCAUUGUUGGAUACUGAGCUGCGGAACACGGAGAAGCC
This 836-nucleotide long non-coding RNA is filed under the name Monodelphis domestica (gray short-tailed opossum). RNAcentral's name for it is "lncRNA (ENSMODG00000033342.2)". Lineage: Eukaryota; Metazoa; Chordata; Mammalia; Didelphimorphia; Didelphidae. The record is from RNAcentral.